RNAcentral lists this ribosomal RNA (538 nucleotides) under uncultured Pseudomonadota bacterium. RNAcentral's name for it is "bacterial SSU rRNA". It matches the Rfam family "Bacterial small subunit ribosomal RNA", at positions 8 to 522 of the family's 1533-position model. The record is from RNAcentral. Lineage: Bacteria; Pseudomonadati; Pseudomonadota.
AGAGUUUGAUCCUGGCUCAGAACGAACGCUGGCGGCGUGCCUAACACAUGCAAGUCGAGCGAGAAAGCCCGCAAGGGUGAGUAAAGCGGCGCACGGGUGCGUAACACGUGGGUAAUCUGCCCUAGAGUCCGGAAUAACUCGCCGAAAGGCGUGCUAAUGCCGGAUUAGACCACGGGAGCUUCGGCUCCUGCGGGAAAAGGUGGCCUCUGUACACAAGCUAUCGCUCUAGGAUGAGCCCGCGGCCCAUCAGCUCGUUGGCGGGGUAAUGGCCCACCAAGGCUACGACGGGUAGCUGGUCUGAGAGGACGAUCAGCCACACUGGAACUGAGACGCGGUCCAGACUCCUACGGGAGGCAGCAGUGGGGAAUCUUGCGCAAUGGGCGAAAGCCUGACGCAGCAACGCCGCGUGUGUGAUGAAGGUCUUCGGAUCGUAAAGCACUGUCGCGAGGGACGAAUAAGGGGCGGGCUAACAUCCCGUUUCCGGAUGACGGUACCUCGAGAGGAAGCACCGGCUAACUCUGUGCCAGCAGCCGCGGUA